AUUGAACGCUGGCGGCAGGCCUAACACAUGCAAGUCGAACGGUAACAGGAAACAGCUUGCUGUUUCGCUGACGAGUGGCGGACGGGUGAGUAAUGUCUGGGAACUGCCUGAUGGAGGGGGAUAACUACUGGAAACGGUAGCUAAUACCGCAUAACGUCGCAAGACCAAAGAGGGGGGCCUUCGGGCCCCUUGCCAUCGGAUGUGCCCAGAUGGGAUUAGCUAGUAGGUGGGGUAACGGCUCACCUAGGCGACGAUCCCUAGCUGGUCUGAGAGGAUGACCAGCCACACUGGAACUGAGACACGGUCCAGACUCCUACGGGAGGCAGCAGUGGGGAAUAUUGCACAAUGGGCGCAAGCCUGAUGCAGCCAUGCCGCGUGUAUGAAGAAGGCCUUCGGGUUGUAAAGUACUUUCAGCGGGGAGGAAGGGAGUAAAGUUAAUACCUUUGCUCAUUGACGUUACCCGCAGAAGAAGCACCGGCUAACUCCGUG
This 489-nucleotide ribosomal RNA is filed under the name uncultured bacterium. Its description in RNAcentral is "partial 16S ribosomal RNA". It matches the Rfam family "Bacterial small subunit ribosomal RNA", at positions 30 to 507 of the family's 1533-position model. The record is from RNAcentral.